Molecule: ribosomal RNA, 445 nt
Filed under: uncultured bacterium
Lineage: Bacteria
Description: partial 16S ribosomal RNA
Rfam family: Bacterial small subunit ribosomal RNA
Source: RNAcentral
GUGAGGAAUAUUGGUCAAUGGACGGAAGUCUGAACCAGCCAUGCCGCGUGCAGGAAUAAGGUCCUAUGGAUUGUAAACUGCUUUUAUUCGGGAAUAAACCUCUUUACGUGUAGGGAGCUGAAGGUACCGAAGGAAUAAGCACCGGCUAACUCCGUGCCAGCAGCCGCGGUAAUACGGAGGGUGCAAGCGUUAUCCGGAAUCAUUGGGUUUAAAGGGUCCGCAGGCGGUCUUAUAAGUCAGUGGUGAAAGCCUACAGCUCAACUGUAGAACUGCCAUUGAUACUGUAGGACUUGAGUUCGAUCGAAGUGGGCGGAAUGUGACAUGUAGCGGUGAAAUGCUUAGAUAUGUCACAGAACACCGAUAGCGAAGGCAGCUCACUAGGUCUGGAUUGACGCUCAGGGACGAAAGCGUGGGGAGCAAACAGGAUUAGAAACCCCUGUAGUCC